UUUCAGCAAACAUUGCUGCGGUGGCCCUCCUGGCUGUAAAACAGGCUGCCAAGCGGGCCCGGGGGCUCGUGGUCACGGCUGAGCGCAGCAUUCCUGGGGCUCAGGUGCGGGGCUGGGCCAGCGCAGGUGGGUGCAGAACCACUCGCAUGGGGCCUGGGGAUGCAGCAUACCCCCAGCGCUGCCAUACGUUGACCAACAGCAUGGGUCAGGCAGCCACAAACUCGCUGCCCUCCCCAGUGUCCCACCUGCUGGCAUUUCCCAUCGCCCCUCAGCCCACGCAUGCCAUGAGCCGGGGCGCCAGGCGCAGAAAUGGUCCGUUAGGUUCCAGCACAGGCCGCAGGAAUGCAGCACCUCGCCCCCACCUCCACCUGCUGGAAGGGCUGGAGGCCACAGUGCACCUCCAGCACUCGGCAGCGUGGGCAGCCUCUGUGCCAUCUGACUCGCAGUUGGCUGGGAUUAGUCCUUCCUGCAUUUUGCUGAAGGCCAUUGCUGCGCUCCAUUGCUAGGUGAAGCAUGACCUCAUUGCCCACACCAUCAGAGUUGGGGGAUACACCACCUCACAUCUUUCUGUACGCGUGCCUGACAGAUAAAAUACUUUUUGCCUGAACUGCUCAGCAGCGGGAGCUGUUUCUUUUCCUUUUAAAGCAACACCAUUACCUUUUUCUAUCAUCAAAAAAGGUAAGGUUAUACUCCAUUUAUUGUGGAAGUGAUAAGCCUACCUCAUAGUGCAAGGAAUGUGACUGCUGAUAGCAAGGUGCAGUUGAGUAGCUGAUAACUCCAGUAUUCAUAGUUUCUCUACUGCACUAGUGUUAUUGAUACAACAGAGUUCACUACAAAAGAUACUGCAGAACAUGACAGGGCAUGCCUCCAUGCUUGGAUUCCAGUUCUAAGUAACAAACACAUUAAUUCAGGGAGUUUGGGAACAGAUCUGGUACUUAGAGGUCACACUUCUGCUUACUUUGAGAGUGCUUUCUUAGAUCCACAGAAGCAUGGAGAUGCUGAAAGUAAAAACUCAAUGCAUUACUACUUCAUUACGUCAACACAACCUGUUAACUAUGCAAACAUAAGAGCUGGCAGGAUUGAGCAUCAAAAGCUCUGCAGGGAUCCAGAGUUUGCUCCAUGAGGAAGUGGGACAUGAUGUAACCUGAAUCUUUUUCCAAGUCCAUUUUUCUCCCUGCAGCACUAUGGCCCCAAUACGAUCACUUCAUUGCAUUAAGGUGAGCAGGUGGUAGCUUUUCUGAUGCCACAUGACUGUUUAUGUUGCUUCUUUAAUUGGGGCUGAUCCCCUUUAUUAAGGACUUUAUUGUCUGCUCUUUGGGGCUCACAGUGAGUAAAGGAAGUAAUUGCAAUCAUAGGAAAACGUUUCUGCGUGUGGGCAUUUUCCAGGAUGCUUUAAAAGCAACAUCAUUGCAGAACUUCCACUUUAUAAUUAAUUUCACCCUUAAAUUCCUGUGUGAUUUAUCCUCUGAAAAGAGAGCAUUUAAUUAUAGUUCUGUACCGGUAUCCAGAUACCAGGUAACGCUGACACCAUUGAAUCCAUUCAUUGGAAUUUCCUCUUUCAGGUUUGAAUAUAUGGGCAACAAGUACCACAUAUAGAUCUUUGCUUCAUCUUUUUGUAAUUCUUUCUGUCUCGUGGUGUAUAUUUCCACAUCAGCCAUCUCCAUUUGCAGGUUUCACCAUCCUCUUCCCCCACAUGGAUGUGCCUCUUUGGAUACUGCCAGCACACACUGUAAGAACCGAUGUUCUGAUUGCUACUCUUCACAUUGGGUAGCACCUUCCUGCACUGAUGGAGCCAAUGUAAGGCAGAUUCAUUACGUCUCGUGGAUUCAAGGGGAAAAGCAGAGGUUAGAUGUACAUUUUCCUUUGCUUGAGAAUGCAUUUCUUCAUGGUGAUUGCCUGUAGAAGAAUACAGGUGCAUUCCUAAUAGUGAACUGUCACUUCAUGUAUGUGUUCUUGCAUAACCAAACCCAUACAUGACAGGUGACUCCUACUUUCUGUAGAACCCACAUCCAGUUUUACAUGUUGCCAUUCUGGGUACAGAUAUGCAUUGCUUUUUGUCUGUUGAGAACGCCACCUAUUUCCAAAAGCAACGUAUUUUUGUUAGAAAGUGUUUUUGAAAAUAGAAGAAAAUCAUGACCUUGCCUUGAAGCACUGGACACUUUUACAUGAGAAAUAAAAAGGUGAAAAUCUUGACCACAAAUGGCAUAAGAAGGGAGAUACCUAAUGGGGAUCCAUACUUGAGAUAGCCUACAGGAAAUGGAGUAAGGAAAAAACCUUGAGCCAGACUUACUCUAUAGAGAGGUCAGCCUCAAAUCUGCUACGUCUGUGAUGAGUCAUUUAGGGCCAGUGUACUUAAACAACCAAGCUCUCCCAUAAACGAUGAGAGUUCAAAAUGCUAUCCCAAGGCUGAAAGAGGCUCUUCCUGGAAACGCAGGAUGAGGUCAAAGCUCCUGGACAAAAGACAUUUGGCUGUUUAAAAUAACAAUCACCCCAAAUUUAGUGGUUUCUUGGGCAACUUCUUGGGUCAGCAUUAAGCGGAAAUUGGAACAAAAACAGAAAAAAACAAACAAAAGAACUCUAAAUCCCAUCUAUCUUGAUGCAUCUCAGAAGAUGGAAAGGUAAAGGUAAAGGCAGCUUUUCACUCUGUAGGAAAUUUCCAUUCCUCUGAGCAGCUCCUGAGUGUCCCAACACAUGCCGCCAGCAGGAAGAGCUCCUUAGUGCUCAUCUGCUGUUUUCCCUUUCCUAAUUACAGCUCUCUGCAAAGUGGUUCAUCCACCUCCAAGGAGAUGGCGGCUUCUUUCAUUUACAGGAUCUUUUCACAGCUUUUGCCUUGAUUUGCCGCUAAUCAAACUUGUAUUUGUACCCUUGUGAAGGGUACACUGAACCAGGUCCCAUCCAUGCAUUUAGUCAGUGCAGAUCCUUGCUCCUAAUCAUUUGUUAAGACUUUGAGUAGGACCAAGGUGGAAGAGCAGUGGUUUCCCCACAGCAGGUGGCAAGAAUUAAGCUACUAGCCAUUCAGUGUUCUGCCUUCCCCUAACCUUCAUCUGGACUCAUAACUGGUGCUUUCGUGCAUACGUACAGCAAAGGCUCAGAGAAGCAUGACACCACACUUCUGAAUUGCCUUCCUCGUGAUCUAAAUGGAUUUUAUUGUUAGCAAACAGCAAGCACCAUGACGUGACAGCAUGCUGCUGGCAGCCAACCUCGUGGCACUUCGGCUUGUUGGAUCUGAGCACAGCAACCCUCUGGGAGCAGAGAAAUGGCAGCAAGAGCCACUGCUGCAAAGUGGUGUGACUCAGCGGCACUCAUUGCCUCCCGUUGGCUUUCACCACAGCACUCAGCCCCAGCUGUGGGCUCUGCACCGUUUCCCUCCUCUUCUGCAUCCCUGCCCCGGACAGCCUGGGGAGGACAGAGGGUAAGGAAGAUGCUCUGUGUAAUGCCACCAUCAGAGGGAAGAAGACAGCUUGCCGUGGCCUCCGCAUUUUGGCUGUGACUCAGUGGUGAGUGCCACUGGCACGCUUGGCCAUGUGCACGGAGAUGGGCACUCUCAGCACAAGGUGUGGCACUGGGGAUGAUGAAGUAAACAGCAAUUCACUGGAACCAGAUCAGCCAGCACUCAUUCCCAACGUAGAACCUAGGAAAGCGGCACAGGUCCGCGGUGUAUUUGUUUGGCCCAGUGAUGGCUGCUAGGCACAGGAGCAGAUGCGCUUAGUGGAAUUCCCCCAUCCACUGGCAUUAUGGGACACUCCUAUUACUGUUCUUAUAAUUACUGUUAAUCAUUACUAUUACUGCAGUGACCAAAAAGAAAGCAGUCGGCAUCAGGCCGUCAUUGGAGCAGCGUUGUCAUGGAGGGAUGAUGAGACAGCCCGCCCCAGGGAACCCAUAAAUGUGGUGCCCAAUUCAUCACAGCAGUCACAUUGCAAAGUAGGACACUGCAGUGCCCAACGAAGCUCCCCUACAACCUGAGCAAAAACAAACCACAACAUUCCCUUGGGCUGAGCUAUAGCAGCCUCAUUUGUGUCUGCUUGGAGCCAGGAUGUUGGCAUCAUGCUCUGUCCAAGUGUGGCUGGAGGGUGAGGAGCUGGCCAGGAACCCAGCACUCAACAAGAUGUUUCCCUUCUAUAUUUUCACUCUGCAGGUGCAACCUGCAAUAGAAUCCCAUGUGUUUGGUCUUUGUGAAUUUCACAUCACCAGCACCAAAAGCCAGCUGUGAGUCACACGAUACACGGGAAGGCCCAGGGUUUGGGUGGGAAUGACCAAGAGUAACUGAAAUCAUUUUCCAGUCACCUUCCCCUCCCAUCCACAGUCUGAACACAACCUCAGGUAUCCAGUUUCCUGGAGAUGGUCUCUAGGUGAUGGAUCAAAGGAAUGGAUGAGAAAGCUGGGUCAUGGGCUGGGUACCAACGGGGAGCUGCAGGGAGAAACUGGUGGCCUCUGUACAGCUGAGAAGGGUGGAGAGCUCCAUCCUGCACAGGACCCCUUUGCUCCAAUGUUAAUUUCCUUCCACCACAAUCCAUUCCAAUGUGAACUGAAGUUAAAGACGAAAUGGCGGGUGAGGGAAGUGCACUCUGGGAAACACUGGACAAAGCAACUGAACAGACUAAGUUUUCUGAAUCCAGUUCAAUUCCUCAGCAACAAUGGUCCUUCUGAAGGAUAUUCAGAGGAAGCAGGCAUCAAAAAAACAAUUUAAAAAAUUUUUGUAAUAUUCCAAAUGGAAGCUGUGCAUUGGAUGCUUGGGAUGAGACAAUUUCAGCCACCAACUUGCAGCAUGCCUACAGCUGCGGUCACCCCUUCAUACAUAACACAUGUUCCAGCUCCACACCCAGAUUAAUCCACCCUGCCCAACCAGGCAUACAGGCAGCCUGACAUCAAUCACAACACAGAGCAUUAAGCUAGCACCAGAGAUGGCCUGUGCUCAGGUGGAACAUGCCAGGCAGCAGAGCUCAUGCAGAAAACAGCCCAAGUUUUUUGCUCCAUCCACACCUCCCAGCCCUCCCUGCUUUGUUCUCGUAACAUUCCCAUGCGUGGACCAAGGAGAGCAAUUUCCAGGAAGGACUACUGUAUGCAAAGCUAAUUGCCUGUCUUUCCAAAUCAACCCCUUUAAAGGGCACGUGGGUUAGCUACAUCAGAAAAGAGGUCUCUGCGCAAUUCUCUCUCUCCUCUCCCAUAGAGCACUCUUACACAACGCACUGCACACGGUGGCAUGCAUCUGAUUACAUUGGAGCAACUCUGAUGACCAUGUGCAGUAACCAUGUGACAUGCCAGCAUCGCUGACUGCAUUGCAAAUGUGGGAAUUGUCCUUUACAUAGAUCUAAAUAAGGUUGGAGCCUCUAGGCAAUGGCCUUCGAUUGUUUACAGUUUUCAUAAACAGGAUGCUAACAAUUUGUAAAUAUCCAUUGGAAAUCCAUCAGCUGUGGAUUUCCAAGUUCACGGUGGACCAGUUUGGUAUAUGUUCAUCUUCAAUAAGUCUAUCUCUACCAAAACUUUAUUGGUAACAUUGCACGACCACAACAGCUGCCUCUAAUGGACCUGUUAGAGCAUGUCCAGAAGAGGGCCACCAAAAUGACCCCAGGGAUGGAACAUGAAACACCUUCCCUACGAGAACAGGCUGAGAGAGCUGGGGCCGUUCAGCCUCGAGAAGAGAUGGCCCUGAGGAGACCCGAGAGCGGCCUUUCUAAUGGGGAAGGGGGGUGACAGGAAAGAAGGGGACAGGCUCUUUAUCAGAGUCUGUUGUGAUAGAACACAAGGAAAUGGUUUCAAACUAAAAGAGGAGAGAUUUAGAUUGGAUGUAAGGAAGAAAUUUUUUUUACAGUGAGGGCGGAGAUGCACUGGCACAGGUUGCCCAGAGGGGCAGUGGAAGCCGCAUCCCUGCAGACAUUCAGGGUCAGGCUGGAGGGGCUCUGAGCACCCAAUCUAGUUGUACCUGUCCCAGUUCAUUGCCAGGGAGUUGGACUAGGUGGCCUUUAAAAGUCCCUUACAACUCAAAUGAUUCUAUGAUUCUAAUUGCAUGUACCAGUGAUUCUACUUCCUAGCUUCCACACAUUGAUUCUGGAGUUGGUACAUCUUCAGAACAUUACCUGGGGAACAAGGAAUCAAAGAAAUAAAGUACUAUUGUUGUCAUCAUUUUCCAUAUUCAGAGAUAGCAAGGGAAUUACACAGCUCUAAAUUCCCAUUGCUAUGCCUUACCUAAAGGGUUUGUUUGUUGUGUUACCUUUUGUUCUUCACAAAAACAUCCCUUCAGCUUAACAGAGAUGGGGACACGUGAGUGUCCAUACUAGCACAUGCACGUGGAAAAAGUCUCUCUCUAAAAUUUUCCUGGGACUUCCUUGAGUGUUGCAGAAGAGAGUGCUUUGGUGGUCACUGAGUAGGAAUCAGCCUGUAAACUGGUACACUGUCACUCCUAGCACAGGCAUAAAUAACCCACUGCUGGGCUUGCACUGAUGCAGAGCAAUCUGACAACACAUCCUCAGCUCCAAUGCAAGUGCCUUAAGAAACUGUAACUCCAGGCAACAGCUGUAAUUGGUUAAGGUCAGGUAACAGCAAAGCAUUCAAGAAACAAUAAUUGAUCUAACAUUCAAUGUUACUUGAGCACAUGAAGUAGUCCUCCUAAGAAUAUAUUGUUAUAAAGCCCUGAUGCCACUUGUUCUGUGUAUUGCACUAUGAACUCAGUUGGGCUUCAGACAGCUUUGCAGAUAAAUCAGGAGGAAACUAACUUACACCCACUAUGAGUGUAUCUCCAGCUAAGAAAUGAGAUAAUUCAAUGCCCUUGGGGAGAUACGAGAAGCAUUUAAAGCAUAAAAAUUGCUCACCUUUCCCUUACCUGGUAAAGUGAUAAACAGAAACAGUACUGCUCAAUAGUACCUGAAAGUCUGAUGCAAGCCUUCAAAAGCAAAGGAGACUAGGAGACGGAGGCAACCAUGAUGCAAGGAUGUACAGCCCCAGUAACACAACAUUCCAAAUCAGCAGCCACCAGGUGCUGACAUAACACAGUGCAUAUGAUGAAAGCUGCAGAAGAGCAAAGCAUUCCUAAAACCACUUGGUUAAAAUUACUAACACCUGAAACUGCCCCCAGCUGUUUGUGGGUGGGAGAGCUGAAGGAAGCAGCCAGCAAAGCAAAGGCAGAUGGUGUGGUGUAUGGGGAGUGGGUUUUAGCUGUGGUCAUAACUCUAUCCCUUGGGUGCCCUCACUGCCAGCUGGGAGAUGUCACAUGCUACACAUGGUGCUCUUGGAGAAGAACUAAGCCUUGCUUUCUUCCCUUGUCUGCCUCUUCCCCCUUAGCACAGGCAGAGCUUUCUGCACAUCUGUGUGAACCUGAGCUCUACAUGAACAAAGGUAUUUUUGUGAGAAACUGAAGAUAAACCUGAUGUUCAGCACCCCAAGGAUGUAAGUCAGCGUCUCGGCUUUGCAGCAGCACAAGGAUCAAGCUGGAAGUUACGAAUCUCACAGGUCCAUUAAGCUCAGUGCCUUUUGCCAGGCUCAACUCGCCUUUGUCAUCACUUUCAUGCUUAUCUUGAAGUUCACAGUUCUGCCCCUUGCCAUGAGGGCUGCAAGAUAAAUCAGCAAAAAGUCCCUACUUGGAGAUUUCCACAGCCACCACUCCACCUGUUACAGCCAUCCCUGGACUUGGUCCUGUGCAAAGACCCAGAUCUGAACAGAAGGUACACAAAAGGAUUGGCUGUCAUGGCACAGCCACCAGGCACUCAGCUGGGAACUGUGCCUGCUGUUAUUUUCCUCACUGGAAAAACAAAACACAAUUAAAGCAGGCUGGCUAUUCUUCUAGACCCACGUUAUUCAGCAUAAGGGCACGGAGAUCAACACCAGCACUGCA
This is a long non-coding RNA of Numida meleagris (helmeted guineafowl), 7825 nucleotides long. RefSeq lists it as uncharacterized. The record is from RefSeq and is a predicted model, not a curated record. Lineage: Eukaryota; Metazoa; Chordata; Aves; Galliformes; Numididae. The transcript has 3 exons.